ACGAACCGUACAAACGUUAUUCGGAAUUAUUGGGCUUAAAGGGUGCGUAGGCUGCGCGGAAAGUUGGGUGUGAAAGCCCUCGGCUCAACCGAGGAAUUGCGCCCAAAACUACCGUGCUCGAGGGAGACAGAGGUGAGCGGAACUCAAGGUGGAGCGGUGAAAUGCGUUGAUAUCUUGAGGAACACCGGUGGCGAAAGCGGCUCACUGGGUCUCUUCUGACGCUGAGGCACGAAAGCCAAGGUAGCAAACGGG
This 252-nucleotide ribosomal RNA is filed under the name uncultured bacterium. RNAcentral's name for it is "partial 16S ribosomal RNA". It matches the Rfam family "Bacterial small subunit ribosomal RNA", at positions 525 to 776 of the family's 1533-position model. The record is from RNAcentral.